ACGGGGGGGGCUAGCGUUGUUCGGAAUUACUGGGCGUAAAGGGCGCGUAGGCGGCCUACUAAGUCAGACGUGAAAUCCCCCGGCUUAACCUGGGAACUGCGUCUGAUACUGGAAGGCUUGAGUAUGGGAGAGGGAUGUAGAAUUCCAGGUGUAGCGGUGAAAUGCGUAGAUAUCUGGAGGAACACCAGAGGCGAAGGCGGCUCGCUGGGCUUGGUCUGACGCUGAGGCGCGAAAGCGUGGGGAGCGAACAGGA
RNAcentral lists this ribosomal RNA (253 nucleotides) under uncultured prokaryote. Its description in RNAcentral is "partial 16S ribosomal RNA". It matches the Rfam family "Bacterial small subunit ribosomal RNA", at positions 525 to 777 of the family's 1533-position model. The record is from RNAcentral.